This 1560-nucleotide ribosomal RNA is filed under the name Vibrio parahaemolyticus. RNAcentral's name for it is "bacterial SSU rRNA". It matches the Rfam family "Bacterial small subunit ribosomal RNA". Lineage: Bacteria; Pseudomonadati; Pseudomonadota; Gammaproteobacteria; Vibrionales; Vibrionaceae. The record is from RNAcentral.
AAAUUGAAGAGUUUGAUCAUGGCUCAGAUUGAACGCUGGCGGCAGGCCUAACACAUGCAAGUCGAGCGGAAACGAGUUAUCAGAACCUUCGGGGGACGAUAACGGCGUCGAGCGGCGGACGGGUGAGUAAUGCCUAGGAAAUUGCCCUGAUGUGGGGGAUAACCAUUGGAAACGAUGGCUAAUACCGCAUGAUGCCUACGGGCCAAAGAGGGGGACCUUCGGCCUCUCGCGUCAGGAUAUGCCUAGGUGGGAUUAGCUAGUUGGUGAGGUAAGGGCUCACCAAGGCGACGAUCCCUAGCUGGUCUGAGAGGAUGAUCAGCCACACUGGAACUGAGACACGGUCCAGACUCCUACGGGAGGCAGCAGUGGGGAAUAUUGCACAAUGGGCGCAAGCCUGAUGCAGCCAUGCCGCGUGUGUGAAGAAGGCCUUCGGGUUGUAAAGCACUUUCAGUCGUGAGGAAGGUAGUGUAGUUAAUAGCUGCAUUAUUUGACGUUAGCGACAGAAGAAGCACCGGCUAACUCCGUGCCAGCAGCCGCGGUAAUACGGAGGGUGCGAGCGUUAAUCGGAAUUACUGGGCGUAAAGCGCAUGCAGGUGGUUUGUUAAGUCAGAUGUGAAAGCCCGGGGCUCAACCUCGGAAUUGCAUUUGAAACUGGCAGACUAGAGUACUGUAGAGGGGGUAGAAUUUCAGGUGUAGCGGUGAAAUGCGUAGAGAUCUGAAGGAAUACCGGUGGCGAAGGCGGCCCCCUGGACAGAUACUGACACUCAGAUGCGAAAGCGUGGGGAGCAAACAGGAUUAGAUACCCUGGUAGUCCACGCCGUAAACGAUGUCUACUUGGAGGUUGUGGCCUUGAGCCGUGGCUUUCGGAGCUAACGCGUUAAGUAGACCGCCUGGGGAGUACGGUCGCAAGAUUAAAACUCAAAUGAAUUGACGGGGGCCCGCACAAGCGGUGGAGCAUGUGGUUUAAUUCGAUGCAACGCGAAGAACCUUACCUACUCUUGACAUCCAGAGAACUUUCCAGAGAUGGAUUGGUGCCUUCGGGAACUCUGAGACAGGUGCUGCAUGGCUGUCGUCAGCUCGUGUUGUGAAAUGUUGGGUUAAGUCCCGCAACGAGCGCAACCCUUAUCCUUGUUUGCCAGCGAGUAAUGUCGGGAACUCCAGGGAGACUGCCGGUGAUAAACCGGAGGAAGGUGGGGACGACGUCAAGUCAUCAUGGCCCUUACGAGUAGGGCUACACACGUGCUACAAUGGCGCAUACAGAGGGCAGCCAACUUGCGAAAGUGAGCGAAUCCCAAAAAGUGCGUCGUAGUCCGGAUUGGAGUCUGCAACUCGACUCCAUGAAGUCGGAAUCGCUAGUAAUCGUGGAUCAGAAUGCCACGGUGAAUACGUUCCCGGGCCUUGUACACACCGCCCGUCACACCAUGGGAGUGGGCUGCAAAAGAAGUAGGUAGUUUAACCUUCGGGGGGACGCUUACCACUUUGUGGUUCAUGACUGGGGUGAAGUCGUAACAAGGUAGCGCUAGGGGAACCUGGCGCUGGAUCACCUCCUUAAACGAUGAU